This 490-nucleotide ribosomal RNA is filed under the name uncultured bacterium. RNAcentral describes it as "partial 16S ribosomal RNA". It matches the Rfam family "Bacterial small subunit ribosomal RNA", at positions 30 to 507 of the family's 1533-position model. The record is from RNAcentral.
AUUGAACGCUGGCGGCAGGCCUAACACAUGCAAGUCGAACGGUAACAGGAAGCAGCUUGCUGCUUUGCUGACGAGUGGCGGACGGGUGAGUAAUGUCUGGGAAACUGCCUGAUGGAGGGGGAUAACUACUGGAAACGGUAGCUAAUACCGCAUAACGUCGCAAGACCAAAGAGGGGGACCUUCGGGCCUCUUGCCAUCGGAUGUGCCCAGAUGGGAUUAGCUAGUAGGUGGGGUAACGGCUCACCUAGGCGACGAUCCCUAGCUGGUCUGAGAGGAUGACCAGCCACACUGGAACUGAGACACGGUCCAGACUUCUACGGGAGGCAGCAGUGGGGAAUAUUGCACAAUGGGCGCAAGCCUGAUGCAGCCAUGCCGCGUGUAUGAAGAAGGCCUUCGGGUUAUAAAGUACUUUCAGCGGGGAGGAAGGGAGUAAAGUUAAUACCUUUGCUCAUUGACGUUACCCGCAGAAGAAGCACCGGCUAACUCCGUG